GUGUGUAUGUGUGAAAGAGGGAGAGGAACAGGCUGCCUGCUGAUCUCACUGGGGAAGGGGUGUAUAAAUAUCCAGAAGGUUUCUAGAUCCACCUUUCCCAAAACAGAGAAAGGGAGAGGCAGAGAGGAGCAAGGAGCGGAUCCACACUCGGAGAGAGCGGAACGGCUGGGAAGUUUGGAAGCUGAGUUUGGAAGGAUAUUGUGGGGAAGCGAGAGAACAGCACAAAGUGUUCCCGGAGCAGGUCCAGAGAGUACCCCGGGGCUGGAGAGUGUGUUCCCGGAGCAGACCCAGAGAGUGCCCCGGGGCUGGAGAGUGUGUUCCCGGAGCAGACCCGGAGAGUGCCCCGGGGCUGGUGAGUGUGUUCCCGGAGCAGAUCCAGAGAGUGCCCCGGGGCUGGUGAGUGUGUUCCCGGAGCAGAUCCAGAGAGUGCCCCGGGGCUGGUGAGUGUGUUCCCGGAGCAGACCCGGAGUCUCCCCCCUGCCUGGGGCUGGAGCAGCAGCAUGUGUGUCCAGCGGUUGGUGCUGCUCUUGAGCGCCGUGGACCUGGCGGUAGUGACCGGGGCACUGUCCACCUGUACCACGUUGGACACCGAGCACAUCAAGAGGAAGCGGGUGGAAGCGAUCAGGGGCCAGAUCCUCAGUAAACUGAGACUGACCAGUCCCCCGGAGGAUCCGAGUCCGGCAGAGGUACCAGCCCAGGUUCUGGCAAUGUACAACAGCACCCGGGAGUUACUGCAGGAGCUGGCCAGAGACCGGCAGCAAGGCUGUGUCACCCACAACACCGACUUCGAGUACUAUGCAAAGGAGCUCUACAAGUUUGAUAUGAUCCAGGGGCCUGCCGUGGACAAUGAUGUCAGUUCAUGCCGUGGGAUCACUUCUAAGGUUUUCCGAUUCAAUGUGUCCUCCAUGGAGAAGAAUGUUUCCAACCUAUUCCGGGCAGAAUUCCGAGCUCUCCGUGUUCCAAACACCAGUGCCAAACGGAAUGAGCAGAGGAUUGAAGUCUAUCAGAUUCUGAAGCCUGAUGAUCACAUUGCCAAGCAGCGAUACAUUGCAGGGAAAGUGGUCCUUACAAAGGGUAUCAGCGAGUGGGUCUCGUUUGAUGUCACUGAGAGUGUGAAGGAAUGGCUAAUUAACAGAGACACGAAUCUCGGUUUGGAGAUUAGCGUUCACUGCCCAUGUCACACCUUCCAUGCCAAUGGUGUCAUCUCCAAUGAACACGAGGUCCUAGACGUCAAGUUCAAGGGGAUUGAUGACUAUGAAUUCUCAGACAGCGGGGACUUGGGCAGACUGACCAAGCGGAAGGAACCGAAGUUUGUGCACAUGGGUCCAACAAACCCACACCUGAUCCUCAUGGUGUUACCCCCACACCGGCUGGACAGCAACCGGGAACACAGCCAUCGCAAGAAACGGGCACUGGACACAGCUUAUUGCUUCAGGAACGAUGAAGAUAAUUGUUGUGUGCGGCCUCUCUACAUCGAUUUCAGACAGGACCUCAGAUGGAAAUGGAUACAUGAGCCCAAAGGAUACUACGCCAAUUUCUGCGCAGGUCCCUGCCCGUACCUACGCAGCACUGAUACCCAGCACAGCACGGUGCUGGGAUUGUACAACACAUUAAACCCAGAGGCUUCAGCUACACCAUGCUGUGCUCCUCAGGACCUCGAACCUCUCACCAUUUUGUACUAUGUCGGCCGAACACCCAAAGUGGAACAGCUGUCCAACAUGAUUGUCAAGUCAUGUAAAUGUAGCUGAGAUCCCUCGUGUUGAGUGUCGCUACAGUUGGGUAAUGAGGUUUGCAUGUUUAGCUGUGCAAGGGUUGUGUCUGAGAGGUGUGUGUGUGUGUGUCUGAGAGACUGUGUGUGUGUCUGAGGGAGCUGUGUGUGUGUGCAUGUAUGUCUCAUAGAGCUGUGCGUGUGUGUCUGAGAGAGCUGUGUGUGUAUGUCUGAGAGAGCUGUGUGUGUGUGUAUGUGUGUGUAUCUGAGAGAGCUGUGUGUAUUUGUCUGAGAGAGCUGUGUGUGUGUGUGUCUGAGAGAGCUCUGUGUGUGUGUAUGUGUGUGUGUAUGUGUGUGUGUGCGCGUGUGUGUCUGAGAGAGCAGUGUGUGUAUGUCCGAGAGAGCUGUGUGUGUGUAUCUGAGAGAGCUGUGUGUGUGAGUGUGUGUGUGUGUGUGUGAGAGAGAGAGCUGUGUGUGUGUGUGUGUGUGUGUGUGUGGUGUGAGAGAGAGAGAGCUGUGUGUGUGUGUGUGUGUGUGAGAGAGAGAGAGUUGUGUGUGUGUGUGUGUGUGUGUGUGAGAGAGAGAGAGAGAGCUGUGUGUGUGUGGGGGUGUGAGAGAGAGAGAGCUGUGUAUGUGUGAGAGAGAGCUGUGUGUGUGUGAGAGAGCUGUGUGUGUGUGUGUGUGAGAGAGAGAGCUGUGUGUGUGUGUGUGUGUGAGAGAGCUGUGUGUGUGUGUGUGUGUGAGAGAGAGAGAGUUGUGUGUGUGUGUGUGUGUGUGUGUGUGAGAGAGAGAGAGAGAGCUGUGUGUGUGUGGGGGUGUGAGAGAGAGAGAGCUGUGUAUGUGUGAGAGAGAGCUGUGUGUGUGUGAGAGAGCUGUGUGUGUGUGUGUGUGAGAGAGAGAGCUGUGUGUGUGUGUGUGUGAGAGAGAGCUGUGUGUGUGUGUGUGUGAGAGAGAGCUGUGUGUGUGUGUGAGAGAGAGAGAGAGCUGUGUAUGUGUGAGAGAGAGAGAGCUGUGUGUGUGUGUGUGUGUGAGAGAGAGAGCUCUGUGUGUGUGUGUGAGAGAGAGAGAGCUGUGUGUGUGUGUGAGAGAGAGCUGUGUGUGUGUGUGUGUGAGAGAGAGAGAGCUGUGUGUGUGUGUGUGUGUGAGAGAGAGAGCUGUGUGUGUGUGAGAGAGAGAGAGAGCUGUGUGUGUGUGUGUGUGUGUGUGAGAGAGAGAGCUGUGUGUGUGUGUGAGAGAGAGAGCUGUGUGUGUGUGUGUGUGUGUGUGUGAGAGAGAGCUGUGUGUGUGUGUGAGAGAGAGCUGUGUGUGUGUGUGAGAGAGAGAGCUGUGUGUGUGUGAGAGAGAGAGCUGUGUGUGUGUGUGUGAGAGAGAGAGCUGUGUGUGUGUGAGAGAGAGAGAGAGAGAGCUGUGUGUGUGUGUGUGUGUGUGUGUGUAUGUGUGUGUGUGUGUGCGCGUGUGUGUCUGAGAGAGCAGUGUGUGUAUGUCCGAGAGAGCUGUGUGUGUGUAUCUGAGAGAGCUGUGUGUGUGUGUGCGCGUGAGAGAGAGCUGUGUGUGUGUGUGUGUGUGUGAGAGAGAGAGCUGUGUGUGUGUGUGAGAGAGAGAGAGCUGUGUGUGUGUGUGUGAGAGAGAGAGAGAGAGAGCUGUGUGUGUGUGUGUGUGUGUGUGUGUGUGUAAUGUACACGUGAGCAGCUUAAGACUGCAAAGCUGCUCUUCUGUUGGUGGAGGCCGGAGAGGAAUGGUCCCUGGCUGAACUGGCAGGAGAAUCUCGACAUAAAGGGGAAACGUCUCAGAAAGAACCUCAAACUGAUUCACAGCAGCCCAGAGUGGGAUGGAGUGACUGACCGCCCAAUCACAGGCCGUGUUCCUGGUUCUUUGAGCUGUGUCCUUGUUGUGGAUUUGUGUGGACAGCAAACAGACAGAAGCUGAGGCUGAAGGUAUACAUCUGAAACCUGAAACAACGUGAGAAGUGGGAGGGCGUGAAAGGAACCCAGUCCCUGAACAGGACGCAGGCCACGUGUUUAUGGGGCACAGAGUGACCACACCCAAAGGAUAAUAACCCACAUUGAGCAAGUCUUCACGCUUUAUUCUCAGCUUUUGACUUGCAUUUCCU
RNA transcript from Hemiscyllium ocellatum (epaulette shark), 3818 nucleotides. It is a transcript of the gene named transforming growth factor, beta 3, with no coding region annotated. The transcript is spliced from 8 exons. The record is from RefSeq and is a predicted model, not a curated record. Lineage: Eukaryota; Metazoa; Chordata; Chondrichthyes; Orectolobiformes; Hemiscylliidae.